AAUCAACGCUGGCGGCGUGCCUAACACAUGCAAGUCGAACGCGAAAGUGGAGCAAUCCAUGAGUAGAGUGGCGAACGGGUGAGUAACACGUGGGUAAUUUACCUUUGGGUGGGGAAUAGCAGCCGGAAACGGCUAUUAAUACCGCAUAAUGCAGCGGCUCGACAUCGAGACAGUUGUUAAAGCGGGGAUCUGACAAGGACCUCGCGCCUAAAGAGAAGCCUGCGUCAGAUUAGCUAGUUGGUAGGGUAAUGGCCUACCAAGGCUGUGAUCUGUAGCCGGCCUGAGAGGGCGGUCGGCCACACUGACACUGACACACGGGUCAGACUCCUACGGGAGGCAGCAGUCGGGAAUUUUGGGCAAUGGGCGCAAGCCUGACCCAGCAACGCCGCGUGAAGGAUGAAAUCCCUCGGGAUGUAACUUCGUAAGAAUAGGAAGAAUAAGUGUAGGAUAAUACCUGNACUGAUGACGGUACUAUUCGUAAGC
RNAcentral lists this ribosomal RNA (483 nucleotides) under uncultured bacterium. RNAcentral describes it as "bacterial SSU rRNA". It matches the Rfam family "Bacterial small subunit ribosomal RNA", at positions 32 to 491 of the family's 1533-position model. The record is from RNAcentral.